ACUUGAUUCGAGACUAUAAAAAGGAACGCAAAGAUAAGUUUGCACUCAUUUCCAGUGUGGUGACAACAGUUGAUUCAUUGCGCACUGAGAAAAGUUAUUGACAUUGUGGCAAGAAAAAUGAAGACUGGAAUUUUUCUCGCAUUUUUACUUUUAGGAGUGGCAUUCACAUUUGGUAUUAAUUCGUAACAUGAUUGUUCAUUAACUUUACAGUAGAUGUUCACUGUUUUAAUAUUUUUAUGAUACUUUUAGCUCUUACUGAGGAAGAUCAGCUUCAAAAUGCAAAUGCUCCGGAAAGCGAUGAAGACUUACAAAAGACGUUGAGAGUGCUGAUGAUGAAGAUCAUGACAUAGAAGAAGACGAAGAAGAUGAUGAAGAUGACGAAGAAGAUGAUGAAGAAAAUGAUCCAAAGUCAUUGAUAUUCCGUCGUCGAUGCCGAAGAUGCCAAAGAAAAAUAAUUUACCGUUACCUCAGAAGACCGUACGCACCAUACAAGUCGUAUCUUUACAAACUAAGAAGAGUCAUUUACCGUAAAAGACCUUACUAUAGAAGAUACAAGUUGUACUGUCGUCGUUCUUGUUACUGCAAACGUCGCUGUUUGUACAAAAAAUGUUAUGGUGGUUACACCUGCAAGAGAUGGAGGUGCUCGCGUCGUUAUUCUAGAAAAUGCUAUUGGUGAUUAUCAAGACUAAGGAAACUGGAUUUAUUAAGAAACCUGUAGACAUACAUUAAAUGUAUUUGUAGAACAGCAGAAAUAAAUAGUUAAAAUUGCA
Molecule: long non-coding RNA, 770 nt
Organism: Xenia sp. Carnegie-2017
Lineage: Eukaryota; Metazoa; Cnidaria; Anthozoa; Malacalcyonacea; Xeniidae
Exons: 4
Source: RefSeq, a predicted model, not a curated record